GCACUUUUCGGUGAUUGGUCAGAAAUUCCAGGCAUUCACUCUUUUUCCAGGUUGGUGCACCUUUGGAAGGAAAGGAAGACUGAACGGGUUUCUUUUGGUAGUCUUCAAGUUCAUGGGCAAUGAACUUAAUCAUAGUUCAAAGUUCAGUCAGGAAUCCUAGAGGAAGACAACCCAAGAGGAGAGGAGCUCGAGGCUGAGCAAACAGCUUUCAGUCCUCCAAUGUUUCCCCAUAACAGUGGUACUGGAAUUGAGACCAAGCGGCCAAUCCAAAGCUGUCAGCAAGUUUCCAUGGCUGAGGGUUGAGCAGAACCUAUCCUUAACACCCUGACCACUAUGCCACACUGGAAACUAUAGGGAUGGCCAGGAGCUCUGUGUGGACUGCAAGUAACGAGGCCCGUGAUUGGCGCGUUCUCCUGCUUCUCUUCCCUUCCCUUCCCUCCUGGGCCAGGACACAAGGGCCAACAGCUUUCCUUCUGGUGGGUGCGUCAUCUGAGGACUGGCAGAAGAAGCAACGAGGGUUUUACCGUUCUUUCUGCCACUUGAACUGGAAGGGGAAACUGGACAGAACUCUUGUCAAGUUCACUCAGUCAAAAGACAAAAACAAAGAAUGGGCCAGUUCCAUGGUUGAGGCUGUCAAAAGAAAAAUGAAGAAAUGGCCACACCUCACCAUUCCACUACUGAACCAGUAAAAGCCAAACAAACAAACACAGAAAUCAAAGGUCCAGCCUUUCAUGGUAGGCAAUGCAGUGGCCCAGGAUGAAAUGGCCACUGAAGGCAGAGAAUGGGAAUGAGGAAUA
Molecule: non-coding RNA, 797 nt
Organism: Python bivittatus (Burmese python)
Lineage: Eukaryota; Metazoa; Chordata; Lepidosauria; Squamata; Pythonidae
Source: RefSeq, a predicted model, not a curated record